Molecule: long non-coding RNA, 424 nt
Filed under: Homo sapiens (human)
Lineage: Eukaryota; Metazoa; Chordata; Mammalia; Primates; Hominidae
Description: non-protein coding lnc-MRPL46-7:2
Source: RNAcentral
GAGCCAGGCUCAAGUAUUGGCACCAAGUUAGGUCUCAGAGGAAAGAAUGGAAACCAAUCACUUUACAUUUUUAUUUUUAUUUUCGGUGGAAAAAUCAUCCUUUUUUGGGACAUACUUGCCCCCUACUUCCUCUUCUCUCUGGAACGGCUCACAAUGAGUGUGACAUUAGAAAACUCCUUGCAGAGGAGAGUUUCUCCAGGGCCUCCUCCCAAGUGUGGCUUUAAGGAGUAAGCUUGAGGAUGAUGUUUUUUAAUUAUUGUAAAUCAUUACCUCAUUUCCAGCCUCCCAGGCUCCAUCCAUCCCAGCAUCUUUUAUUCUGCCAUUUUCCUCACCUUGUGCUAUGACAAUGGGGCGUUGUGUUUCCACAGAGACUUAUAGGAGUGUUCAGUGUAUAGUUUCUUAAUAAACACUUUAUUUUCUAAUG